AGCAUAUCAAUAAGCGGAGGAAAAGAAACUAACAAGGAUUCCCCUAGUAACGGCGAGUGAAGCGGGAAGAGCUCAAAUUUAAAAUCUGGCAGUGUAUUCUGUCCGAGUUGUAGUCUAGAGAAGCAUCAUCCGUGCUGGACCG
Molecule: ribosomal RNA, 142 nt
Filed under: Ceratobasidium theobromae
Lineage: Eukaryota; Fungi; Basidiomycota; Agaricomycetes; Cantharellales; Ceratobasidiaceae
Description: partial 28S ribosomal RNA
Rfam family: Eukaryotic large subunit ribosomal RNA
Source: RNAcentral